CCUACGGGUGGCAGCAGUGGGGAAUAUUGCACAAUGGGGGAAACCCUGAUGCAGCGACGCCGCGUGAGUGAAGAAGUAUCUCGGUACGUAAAGCUCUAUCAGCAGGGAAGAAAAUGACGGUAUCUGACUAAGAAGCACCGGCUAACUACGUGCCAGCAGCCGCGGUAAUACGUAGGGUGCAAGCGUUACCCGGAUUUACUGGGGGUAAAGGGAGCGUAGGCGGGAGCACAAGUCUGGUGUGAAAUCCCGGGGCUUAACCCCAGAACUGCAUUGGAAACUGUGCGGCUGGAGUGCAGGAGGGGUAAGUGGAAUUCCUAGUGUAGCGGUGAAAUGCGUAGAGAUUAAGAGGAACACUCGUGGCGAAGGCGACUUACUGGACUGUAACUGACGUUGAGGCUCGAAAGCGUGGGGAGCAAACAGGAUUAGAUACCCGUGUAGUC
This 440-nucleotide ribosomal RNA is filed under the name uncultured bacterium. RNAcentral describes it as "partial 16S ribosomal RNA". It matches the Rfam family "Bacterial small subunit ribosomal RNA", at positions 338 to 795 of the family's 1533-position model. The record is from RNAcentral.